This 81-nucleotide transfer RNA is filed under the name Armillaria novae-zelandiae. Its description in RNAcentral is "tRNA-Asn". It matches the Rfam family "tRNA". Rfam says of the family: Transfer RNA (tRNA) molecules are approximately 80 nucleotides in length. Their secondary structure includes four short double-helical elements and three loops (D, anti-codon, and T loops). The record is from RNAcentral. Lineage: Eukaryota; Fungi; Basidiomycota; Agaricomycetes; Agaricales; Physalacriaceae.
UGCCCCAUGGCUGAGUUGGUUACAGCGUCCGACUGUUAUAGGUCAAUCGGAAGGUCGAGAGUUCGAGCCUCUCUGGGGCAG